RNAcentral lists this ribosomal RNA (458 nucleotides) under uncultured bacterium. Its description in RNAcentral is "partial 16S ribosomal RNA". It matches the Rfam family "Bacterial small subunit ribosomal RNA", at positions 338 to 795 of the family's 1533-position model. The record is from RNAcentral.
CCUACGGGUGGCAGCAGUGAGGAAUAUUGGUCAAUGGGCGAGAGCCUGAACCAGCCAAGUCGCGUGAGGGAGUACUGCCCUAUGGGUUGUAAACCUCUUUUGUCGGGGAGCAAAAGCCGGACGUGUCCGGCUGUGAGAGUAACCGAAGAAAAAGCAUCGGCCAACUCCGUGCCAGCAGCCGCGGUAAUACGGGGGCUGCGAGCGUUAUCCGGAUGUGUUGGGGUUAAGGGGAGCGCAGGCGGAUUUUUAAGUUAGCGGUCAAAUCGUGGGGCUCAACCCCAUCCAGCCGUUGAUACUGGGGAUCUAGAGUGUGCGAGAGGGAGGCAGAAUGCGUGGUGUAGCGGUGAAAUGCAUAGAGAUCACGCAGAACCCCGAUUGCGAAGGCAGCAUACCGGUGCACAACUGACGCUCAGGCACGAAAGCGUGGGUAUCGAACAGGAUUAGAUACCCUAGUAGUC